This 351-nucleotide ribosomal RNA is filed under the name Triticum aestivum (bread wheat). Its description in RNAcentral is "partial small subunit ribosomal RNA". The record is from RNAcentral. Lineage: Eukaryota; Viridiplantae; Streptophyta; Magnoliopsida; Poales; Poaceae.
AUGUGGCAUGAGACUAGGCAGAUGGCCCCAGACGCUUCUUCCCUGACAAGGAUGCUUCAGGCUUAUCAUCGACACAACUUGGAACAAAGUGAACCAGAUGAGAAAAUGAAGUGUAUGGCGGUAACCUUGACUCCCAUGCGACUAGCCAAAAAUCUCCCUUCGGUGGAACAGUAUGGCCUGCUUCUGCUAGCGAGUCCCCAAAUACCAGUUUGGGUAGACUACUAUUUGGAGAGCUACGAGAGGGAGCGGCAGGAGACAAGAGGUAGUGAGGGCCGAGGUGUACCGGACGGCCUUGAUCCAAAAGCUCAUUUGGAUGGGUGCCAAACCUGGAGAUGUUCAUCUUCAUUGUGA